ACCUCAUAUUCGUGCAGUUAACCAAAAGCCAGUUCCAGCAACACUCCAUCAUUCACCUCCGCGAUCCUGCCGCCCUCGGCAAGCUACUCGCGCCAAUUGAAGCGUUUAACGCGACCGAUGACAUCUGGUUCUGAAUCGCAUCCAGUGAGUCGUCUACCGAAUCCGAAUUAUGUUUCAGCUGGCUGAGUCGUCUUCUUCUUUGUUGAAUGAUAACUUGAAUCUGCAGUAACUAGAGAUUAUAAUUUACCAAUUGAAAAUAGUAAAAGGCGAAUUAAAGGUUAGAGAACGGAGAAGUUAGGGUUUUCGAGUGGAGAUAGAAGAGCAUAGUAGGGGAAGGCCGAAGGCGCCGCCGCAUCAGACCAUCAGUGCCGCCGUCGAACUUACAGACGAGUUCAGCGUCCUCCGGUAUAGCCGACGAACCUAGGUCCGACAAAUACGGGUCGGGCAUUGUCUUAUUUGAUUGCCAAGGGUGUGCGAACACCGCAUGGUGCGGUAGGGGUACCACAACAUCAAAUCCAUUCCAAUUGGGCCUUUCCUAACUUUCUAGCAGUUGCAUUUACUAUAGUAUAUUAUACAAGUUUAUUUUAAAAAAAAAAAAAAAAACAUGUAAACAGAAAAUAAAUUUUAAUAUAUAACUUUAAAAUAACAAAGAAAAAAAUGUAUUUAUUAUAAUUUAAUAUCAUAUAUAAGAUAUUUAAUAUUUAAAAUUUUAAUACUUUAUAUAUAUAUAAGUAUAUGACUUUAAUUUUAAAUAUUGAAACAAACCAAAAAUUGACAAGUUGAUAAUAUUUAUUUCAAAAAUACUACAAAAUGAAUGUCAAAACUCAUAAGAGAUUGACAUGUGUCAAAAAAAAAAUUCAUUUAUUAAAAAGGAUACAUAUAUUUUUCACCAUAGUAGUCAUUAUUUUCAUCUUUAUUUUUUUCCAACUUCACUAAGUCAUCUUCAUCUUCUUCUACUUCAUCGGGAUGCAAGGUUGUUAAUUGAAGCAGCAUUUAUCAGAAAAGUAAUGCAACGAACAAUCGACAUAUUAAGAAAAAGCAAAGUUGAAAGUUCACGUACAACAAAGAAAAAACCACCUGCUUUAAAAGAAGAUGAAGUUGAAAGUUCAUGUACCAUAAGGAAAAAACCAUUCAUUUUAAUAGAAAACGAAACUGAAAGUUCAAGCUUCUAGUGGAAGGGCAAACGAUCUUCGCAAAUCUUUUUUCAUAGUCAAGACGUGCUUUUAAUUUGUUAUUAUGUAAUUUUGACUAUUUUAGUUUAAUUAUGAAAAAAUGUUUGUUGAUAAAUUUUGAAUUUAUUUUAUUUAUUUAUUUUUAUUUUUUGAAGAUGCAAAUAUAAAUAGAUAAUUAAUUCAUAAACUAACACAUAAUUCAACUAUGUCCACAAACGGAUUUUAACCCUCAAUCUCAAAAAAAGAAACAUCAUCUCAUACCAUCGGUCACCUCCACGAUCCUUUCGCUUUCGCCAAUUUAAUCCUUCAUCCCCUGGCUUCUAUCUGUAGACGGCGGCAUUUUUGUCAAUUGAAACAUUUAACGCGAUCAAUGACAACUGGUUUCGAAUCUUGUUGAGAGAGUCGUCUACCGAGUCCAAAUUAUGUUUCAGUCAGCUGAGUCGUCUUCUUCUUUGUUGGAUUAUAGCUUGAAUCUGACGUAACUGGAGAUUAUAAUUAGCCAAUCGAAAAUAGUAAAAUGUGAAUUAAAGGUUAGAGAACGGAGAAG
This 1719-nucleotide long non-coding RNA is filed under the name Lactuca sativa (garden lettuce). Its description in RNAcentral is "long non-coding RNA (LSAT_LNC006439)". Lineage: Eukaryota; Viridiplantae; Streptophyta; Magnoliopsida; Asterales; Asteraceae. The record is from RNAcentral.